CCUACGGGGUGCAGUAGUGAGGAAUAUUGGUCAAUGGGCGCGAGCCUGAUCCAGCCAAGUAGCGUGAAGGAUGAAUGCCCUACGGGUUGUAAACUUCUUUUAUAAAGGAAUAAAGUGAGGCACGUGUACCUUUUAGUAUGUCCUUUAUGAAUAAGGAUCGGCUAACUCCGUGCCAGCAGCCGCGGUAAUACGGAGGAUCCGAGCGUUAUCCGGAUUUUUUGGGUUUAAAGGGAGCGUAGAUGGGUUGUUAAGUCAGUUGUGAAAGUUUGCGGCUCAACCGUAAAAUUGCAAUUGAUACUGGCAGUCUAGAGUACAGUUGAGGUAGGCGGAAUUCGUGGUGUAGCGGUGAAAUGCUUAGAUAUCACGAAGAACUCCGAUUGCGAAGGCAGCUUACUAAACUGCCACUGACAUUGAGGCUCGAAAGUGUGGGUAUCAAACAGGAUUAGAUACCCUUGUAGUC
Molecule: ribosomal RNA, 460 nt
Filed under: uncultured bacterium
Lineage: Bacteria
Description: partial 16S ribosomal RNA
Rfam family: Bacterial small subunit ribosomal RNA
Source: RNAcentral